RNAcentral lists this transfer RNA (82 nucleotides) under Lysobacter dokdonensis DS-58. It matches the Rfam family "tRNA". Rfam says of the family: Transfer RNA (tRNA) molecules are approximately 80 nucleotides in length. Their secondary structure includes four short double-helical elements and three loops (D, anti-codon, and T loops). Further hydrogen bonds mediate the characteristic L-shaped molecular structure. tRNAs have two regions of fundamental functional importance: the anti-codon, which is responsible for specific mRNA codon recognition, and the 3' end, to which the tRNAs corresponding amino acid is attached (by aminoacyl-tRNA synthetases). tRNAs cope with the degeneracy of the genetic code in two manners: having more than one tRNA (with a specific anti-codon) for a particular amino acid; and 'wobble' base-pairing, i.e. permitting non-standard base-pairing at the 3rd anti-codon position. Lineage: Bacteria; Pseudomonadati; Pseudomonadota; Gammaproteobacteria; Lysobacterales; Lysobacteraceae. The record is from Rfam by way of RNAcentral.
GCGAGAGUGGCGGAAUUGGUAGACGCACUGGAUUUAGGUUCCAGCGCCGCAAGGCGUGCGGGUUCGAGUCCCGCCUUUCGCA